ACGGGAGAAUGCAACCAUGGAGAAGGAAAAUGCAAAUCUAGAUGACAAUGAGGAUAGUGGAAAAGCUUCUGAUGUAGUUUAUGAAUCCAGAAAUCAGAGAGUGGAAGAGCUGCACAUAGAUGAAAUUAGAGAAGAAAUCAAAGCAGCCUCUGAAACAGUACACAAGUCUCAGAGUGAUGAAACAGUUACAGGAAUUGAAGUUGCUAAUGAUCAGACCCGCCCAGAAGAGAUAACAAAAGAACAUGAGACACCAUCUCUAGCAAUUCCUUGCAAAGAAGAGGAGCGUGAAACUAAAGC
This 297-nucleotide unclassified non-coding RNA is filed under the name Hevea brasiliensis (rubber tree). Lineage: Eukaryota; Viridiplantae; Streptophyta; Magnoliopsida; Malpighiales; Euphorbiaceae. The record is from RNAcentral.